Molecule: ribosomal RNA, 585 nt
Filed under: uncultured bacterium
Lineage: Bacteria
Description: partial 16S ribosomal RNA
Rfam family: Bacterial small subunit ribosomal RNA
Source: RNAcentral
UGGGGAAUUUUGGACAAUGGGCGAAAGCCUGAUCCAGCAAUGCCGCGUGUGUGAAGAAGGCCUUCGGGUUGUAAAGCACUUUUGUCCGGAAAGAAAUCCUUGGCUCUAAUACAGUCGGGGGAUGACGGUACCGGAAGAAUAAGCACCGGCUAACUACGUGCCAGCAGCCGCGGUAAUACGUAGGGUGCAAGCGUUAAUCGGAAUUACUGGGCGUAAAGCGUGCGCAGGCGGUUUGCUAAGACCGAUGUGAAAUCCCCGGGCUCAACCUGGGAACUGCAUUGGUGACUGGCAGGCUAGAGUAUGGCAGAGGGGGGUAGAAUUCCACGUGUAGCAGUGAAAUGCGUAGAGAUGUGGAGGAGUACCGAUGGCGAAGGCAGCCCCCUGGGCCAAUACUGACGCUCAUGCACGAAAGCGUGGGGAGCAAACAGGAUUAGAUACCCUGGUAGUCCACGCCCUAAACGAUGUCAACUAGUUGUUGGGGAUUCAUUUCCUUAGUAACGUAGCUAACGCGUGAAGUUGACCGCCUGGGGAGUACGGUCGCAAGAUUAAAACUCAAAUGAAUUGACGGGGUCAUAGCUGUUUCCU